GCAUUGCUGACGAGUCCCAAACAGGAUGAAACAGCUGUCCAGUAA
Molecule: non-coding RNA, 45 nt
Filed under: Echinostoma caproni
Lineage: Eukaryota; Metazoa; Platyhelminthes; Trematoda; Plagiorchiida; Echinostomatidae
Source: RNAcentral